This 446-nucleotide ribosomal RNA is filed under the name uncultured bacterium. Its description in RNAcentral is "partial 16S ribosomal RNA". It matches the Rfam family "Bacterial small subunit ribosomal RNA", at positions 338 to 795 of the family's 1533-position model. The record is from RNAcentral.
CCUACGGGUGGCAGCAGUCGAGAAUCAUUCACAAUGGGGGAAACCCUGAUGGUGCGACGCCGCGUGGGGGAAUGAAGGUCUUCGGAUUGUAAACCCCUGUCAUGUGGGAGCAAAUUAAAAAGAUAGUACCACAAGAGGAAGAGACGGCUAACUCUGUGCCAGCAGCCGCGGUAAUACAGAGGUCUCAAGCGUUGUUCGGAAUCACUGGGCGUAAAGCGUGCGUAGGCUGUUUCGUAAGUCGUGUGUGAAAGGCGCGGGCUCAACCCGCGGAGGGCAAAUGAUACUGCGAGAAUAGAGGAAUGGAGGGGGAACCGGAAUUCUCGGUGUAGCAGUGAAAUGCGUAGAUAUCGAGAGGAACACUCGUGGCGAAGGCGGGUUCCUGGACAUUAACUGACGCUGAGGCACGAAGGCCAGGGGAGCGAAAGGGAUUAGAUACCCCAGUAGUC